Molecule: non-coding RNA, 251 nt
Filed under: Lactobacillus sp.
Lineage: Bacteria; Bacillati; Bacillota; Bacilli; Lactobacillales; Lactobacillaceae
Description: T-box sequence
Rfam family: T-box leader
About the family: Uncharged tRNA acts as the effector for transcription antitermination of genes in the T-box leader family. T-boxes are found upstream of many aminoacyl-tRNA synthetase genes and some amino acid biosynthetic genes usually in Gram-positive bacteria.
Source: RNAcentral
GAUAAAGCGAUGAAAAGAUAAGUAAGUUUGCAUGUAGCGUUUUAGAGAGUCCUGUAGCUGAAAAUGGAUCGUGAUGGCAAACUGAAAGUAACUUUGAGCUAUAUGGUGAAUGAUUAGUAGCUUAUAUUGGUGACACCCAUUAGCGUGUUAGCGUAUCGUAAUUUUUACCGUACGUGAAGUGACUGUGAGAUUUUUAGCAGAAAAAAUAUUUACAGUAAUAUAGGUGGUACCGUGCUGACAGCACCCUUGAU